AAUUUUUUAAAUGAGAGGGUGAAACUGUGACCAUUGGAUUAGUUAGAUGGUUGUGAUUAAAAGAGAGGUUUAAUGAGUCACAUGACUCUCUUUUCAUCAAUUUCACGCGCGUUGAUUUCUCUCACCUCACGCGAUUUCUGAAAGUUCUCCUUUCUUCAUCGUUUCAGCACCAUUCUUUCUUUAGUCAUUGUUCUACUCCAAAAACGGUCAUUCCGACGAUAUCUCCACAACCACUUCUCAAUUCCGACGAUAUCUCGACAGCCACUUCUCAAUUUCGGUUAUUAACAGGUUCAAUUUUCAGUGAAUAAGGUGAUGGCAAUGUGUGAAAUGGUCAAGCAUGGAUGCUUCUCAAGGAAAUUUAUAUGCUAGACAACAAACAGAGAAUAAGAACUUGAAGAAUAAGAAAAAAUAGAUUUUAUGUGCUGCUGUGUUUGACAGCAGUCCUGUGCAGAGUUGCAGUUUUUCCGUGAUGCCACUGCAGUUGUGAUUUGGUGUUGUGUUUGGGAGGCUUGCUAGCGUGUUUCGGAGUUGCUUCUGGCUGGCUUUUAUUGCUAUUUUGGUUUCUAGCAGGUUUCCAGGGUUUUUUUUGUUGAGUUUUGAUUUUGGUGGAGAGGCACCCUUUGUUUUAAGGCCCUCCUUAAUUGUACUCUUUUUGCAACAUCAAAUGUAAUUUCUAUUUUGUGUA
Molecule: long non-coding RNA, 685 nt
Organism: Medicago truncatula (barrel medic)
Lineage: Eukaryota; Viridiplantae; Streptophyta; Magnoliopsida; Fabales; Fabaceae
Exons: 2
Source: RefSeq, a predicted model, not a curated record